Long non-coding RNA from Malaya genurostris, 1024 nucleotides. RefSeq lists it as uncharacterized. NCBI's taxonomy places the organism in Eukaryota, Metazoa, Arthropoda, Insecta, Diptera, Culicidae. The transcript is spliced from 3 exons. The record is from RefSeq and is a predicted model, not a curated record.
GUUUUUAUGUCGUAAUUAUGGUGAUUAUGAUUGUUAUAUUUGUAAUUGAAGCUCUUUUAGGAAGUUUAUUAGCUUUUUGAUAUUGUUGAUAUUUUUUGUUUCGAACACUUCUGGAUUAUGUGCUCCGAUGUGUUCGGUGUUUCGCAUAAGUCGCAGAAUCUUUCAUCCUUUUUGUUCAUGAUGCUCAACCAGUAUGGUGAAAAAUCAUGGCCAGAUAUUAAUCUGUUCAGAGUUCUGACUUCGGAAUUGGAUAGCGGCAGGCUAUGGUAUUGCAGUGCGACAUAUAUAGCCUCCAACUCUGCUGACAUGCUGCAUACUGAGUUUUUCAACUUUAAGCUGAGACGAUAAUUGUGUGUUUGAUCAAAUAUACCUAUCCCACAUGUAUCUUCGACCUUUGAGGCGUCAGUGUAAACUUUUGUGCAGGUAUGAUAUUUGUUUAUGAGGAGUCCAAGUGUUCUUUGUUUAAGAACUCUGUCUGAUGUAGACUUCUUAUUGCUUGUCUCUUCGCCUAGAUCACUUUCUAUCAUUAUCGAUACUUUUUUCUCUACGUGCCACGUUUGAGAUGUUUGAGUAAUGAUUUCUUUAUAUUUUAGAAACAUUAAUUCUAGGUAUGUUGCCUUUUUCUCUGGCAGAUCGGCUUCAUUUAAGCCUUUCAGCUGAUUCCAUACUGGGGUAUUGUAUUGUGCAUGCCUAAUUAUCUCUCUAGUUGUUAUUAGUUCUCUCCUGUAUUCCAAGGGGUGUUGGCUUGCAAUUGCACAAAGUGUAUUGAUUGGUGUGGUUUUCGAGCAUCCAGUCACUUGUCUUAGGCAUGCAUUGUAAGCAAUAUCCAAGGUAUGUGCAUUUGUCUUAUGGGCGUUUGCAUACGUCGACGCCCCGUAGUCUAGGUAUCCGCGAAUAAUUGCAUUGCAUAUCAGUCCCAUAGUUUGAGGAUGCCCUCCAGUUCUGCUGCUGCUGAUAACUUUCAGCAUAUUUAAUCUGUCUACUGUAUUUCUUUUCACUUCUCGGAUAUGUGCUCCGAAUUUUA